GGGUUGUGAGGUUAAGCGACUAAGCGUACACGGUGGAUGCCCUGGCAGUCAGAGGCGAUGAAGGACGUGCUAAUCUGCGAUAAGCGUCGGUAAGGUGAUAUGAACCGUUAUAACCGGCGAUUUCCGAAUGGGGAAACCCAGUGUGUUUCGACACACUAUCAUUAACUGAAUCCAUAGGUUAAUGAGGCGAACCGGGGGAACUGAAACAUCUAAGUACCCCGAGGAAAAGAAAUCAACCGAGAUUCCCCCAGUAGCGGCGAGCGAACGGGGAGCAGCCCAGAGCCUGAAUCAGUGUGUGUGUUAGUGGAAGCGUCUGGAAAGGCGCGCGAUACAGGGUGACAGCCCCGUACACAAAAAUGCACAUGCUGUGAGCUCGAUGAGUAGGGCGGGACACGUGGUAUCCUGUCUGAAUAUGGGGGGACCAUCCUCCAAGGCUAAAUACUCCUGACUGACCGAUAGUGAACCAGUACCGUGAGGGAAAGGCGAAAAGAACCCCGGCGAGGGGAGUGAAAAAGAACCUGAAACCGUGUACGUACAAGCAGUGGGAGCACGCUUAGGCGUGUGACUGCGUACCUUUUGUAUAAUGGGUCAGCGACUUAUAUUCUGUAGCAAGGUUAACCGAAUAGGGGAGCCGAAGGGAAACCGAGUCUUAACUGGGCGUUAAGUUGCAGGGUAUAGACCCGAAACCCGGUGAUCUAGCCAUGGGCAGGUUGAAGGUUGGGUAACACUAACUGGAGGACCGAACCGACUAAUGUUGAAAAAUUAGCGGAUGACUUGUGGCUGGGGGUGAAAGGCCAAUCAAACCGGGAGAUAGCUGGUUCUCCCCGAAAGCUAUUUAGGUAGCGCCUCGUGAACUCAUCUCCGGGGGUAGAGCACUGUUUCGGCAAGGGGGUCAUCCCGACUUACCAACCCGAUGCAAACUGCGAAUACCGGAGAAUGUUAUCACGGGAGACACACGGCGGGUGCUAACGUCCGUCGUGAAGAGGGAAACAACCCAGACCGCCAGCUAAGGUCCCAAAGUCAUGGUUAAGUGGGAAACGAUGUGGGAAGGCCCAGACAGCCAGGAUGUUGGCUUAGAAGCAGCCAUCAUUUAAAGAAAGCGUAAUAGCUCACUGGUCGAGUCGGCCUGCGCGGAAGAUGUAACGGGGCUAAACCAUGCACCGAAGCUGCGGCAGCGACGCUGAUGCGUUGUUGGGUAGGGGAGCGUUCUGUAAGCCUGCGAAGGUGUGCUGUGAGGCAUGCUGGAGGUAUCAGAAGUGCGAAUGCUGACAUAAGUAACGAUAAAGCGGGUGAAAAGCCCGCUCGCCGGAAGACCAAGGGUUCCUGUCCAACGUUAAUCGGGGCAGGGUGAGUCGACCCCUAAGGCGAGGCCGAAAGGCGUAGUCGAUGGGAAACAGGUUAAUAUUCCUGUACUUGGUGUUACUGCGAAGGGGGGACGGAGAAGGCUAUGUUGGCCGGGCGACGGUUGUCCCGGUUUAAGCGUGUAGGCUGGUUUUCCAGGCAAAUCCGGAAAAUCAAGGCUGAGGCGUGAUGACGAGGCACUACGGUGCUGAAGCAACAAAUGCCCUGCUUCCAGGAAAAGCCUCUAAGCAUCAGGUAACAUCAAAUCGUACCCCAAACCGACACAGGUGGUCAGGUAGAGAAUACCAAGGCGCUUGAGAGAACUCGGGUGAAGGAACUAGGCAAAAUGGUGCCGUAACUUCGGGAGAAGGCACGCUGAUAUGUAGGUGAGGUCCCUCGCGGAUGGAGCUGAAAUCAGUCGAAGAUACCAGCUGGCUGCAACUGUUUAUUAAAAACACAGCACUGUGCAAACACGAAAGUGGACGUAUACGGUGUGACGCCUGCCCGGUGCCGGAAGGUUAAUUGAUGGGGUUAGCGCAAGCGAAGCUCUUGAUCGAAGCCCCGGUAAACGGCGGCCGUAACUAUAACGGUCCUAAGGUAGCGAAAUUCCUUGUCGGGUAAGUUCCGACCUGCACGAAUGGCGUAAUGAUGGCCAGGCUGUCUCCACCCGAGACUCAGUGAAAUUGAACUCGCUGUGAAGAUGCAGUGUACCCGCGGCAAGACGGAAAGACCCCGUGAACCUUUACUAUAGCUUGACACUGAACAUUGAGCCUUGAUGUGUAGGAUAGGUGGGAGGCUUAGAAGUGUGGACGCCAGUCUGCAUGGAGCCGACCUUGAAAUACCACCCUUUAAUGUUUGAUGUUCUAACGUUGACCCGUAAUCCGGGUUGCGGACAGUGUCUGGUGGGUAGUUUGACUGGGGCGGUCUCCUCCUAAAGAGUAACGGAGGAGCACGAAGGUUGGCUAAUCCUGGUCGGACAUCAGGAGGUUAGUGCAAUGGCAUAAGCCAGCUUGACUGCGAGCGUGACGGCGCGAGCAGGUGCGAAAGCAGGUCAUAGUGAUCCGGUGGUUCUGAAUGGAAGGGCCAUCGCUCAACGGAUAAAAGGUACUCCGGGGAUAACAGGCUGAUACCGCCCAAGAGUUCAUAUCGACGGCGGUGUUUGGCACCUCGAUGUCGGCUCAUCACAUCCUGGGGCUGAAGUAGGUCCCAAGGGUAUGGCUGUUCGCCAUUUAAAGUGGUACGCGAGCUGGGUUUAGAACGUCGUGAGACAGUUCGGUCCCUAUCUGCCGUGGGCGCUGGAGAACUGAGGGGGGCUGCUCCUAGUACGAGAGGACCGGAGUGGACGCAUCACUGGUGUUCGGGUUGUCAUGCCAAUGGCACUGCCCGGUAGCUAAAUGCGGAAGAGAUAAGUGCUGAAAGCAUCUAAGCACGAAACUUGCCCCGAGAUGAGUUCUCCCUGACUCCUUGAGAGUCCUGAAGGAACGUUGAAGACGACGACGUUGAUAGGCCGGGUGUGUAAGCGCAGCGAUGCGUUGAGCUAACCGGUACUAAUGAACCGUGAGGCUUAACCUUACAACGCCGAAGGUGUUU
Molecule: ribosomal RNA, 2931 nt
Filed under: Escherichia coli
Lineage: Bacteria; Pseudomonadati; Pseudomonadota; Gammaproteobacteria; Enterobacterales; Enterobacteriaceae
Description: bacterial LSU rRNA
Rfam family: Bacterial large subunit ribosomal RNA
Source: RNAcentral